UAAGGGCGUGUAAUGAAAAUUCUGUUUUUUUUAAGUCCAAAAAAAAUUUUUAGUUCGAAGAAAAAUUGUAUUUCUUGACGUUUCAGGUAAAAAUAAGUUUCCCCGAAAGAAAAAUUUUUUUAUACGCCCUUAUGGCUCCCGGGACUCACCUCGGAUGCUAUAAGGGCGUAUAAAAAAUUUUUUUUUUGGGAACCGACGUACUUUUGUAUUAAAUGUCGAGAAAUACAAAAAAAAAUUUUUCUUCGAACUAAAAAUUUUUUUUGGACUUAGAAAAAAUAAUAGAAUUUUUAUUAUACGCCCUUAUGGCAUCCGAGGUGGGACCUUUUACCGGUAUACUCCCUUAUGGCAUCUGGAACGCGAUAUUGAAAAGAA
This 372-nucleotide long non-coding RNA is filed under the name Cotesia glomerata. RNAcentral's name for it is "uncharacterized LOC123273554". The record is from RNAcentral. Lineage: Eukaryota; Metazoa; Arthropoda; Insecta; Hymenoptera; Braconidae.